Molecule: long non-coding RNA, 1268 nt
Organism: Triticum aestivum (bread wheat)
Lineage: Eukaryota; Viridiplantae; Streptophyta; Magnoliopsida; Poales; Poaceae
Exons: 7
Source: RefSeq, a predicted model, not a curated record
GGUGCUCAACCGGCGAUUGAGAUUUGGAGGGAGACUAGGAGACCCCGGCGAAAACGAGCGUGCUAGCGGAGGCUCCGGGAAUGCAGGGUGAUAGGGCCCAGUCUAUGCUCCGGUUGUGUUGUUGGGAUUUUCGGGAUGGGCCUUCCUAUCCAUAAGUUUGUCUUUAUACUGCAUAUUAAUUCACACUUUUGGGGAAGCUUCUGGACGGGAUUUAGACAAGGAAACGGAGACCCGUGCGAAAUCGAGCAUCCUGGUGGUGCCUCGACCAAAGCGGGUCGACGGAUAGCGCGGUGAGCACGGAGCAUGGUGCAGCGAGUUGGAUAGGCGGCAAGAGAGGUGACCACGGGUGUGGCUUGGGGAGCUCCGCACACAUGAAGUGAUGAUGAGUGCAUCCGACCCCACCAUGCUGCUGGUCCUGGAGAACAAGGGGUAUAUGAACCAGAAAUGAUGUGAUAUACUUGGUUAUUUGAACAUGAAGGUCAGCCGCGGGGUGGCGCGACAUGGGCUCAUUACAAGCUUCGGCUGGAUCAAAUAGUGGGCCUUCUAUAUAUAUAUAUAUUCAGCUGUAUCAUUUCUUACUAUAUAUAUCUUCCUGUCGACCAGACGAAACCAUACAUGGAUCCUUUGCCUCCUUUCUUGCUCAGACCCCAUGAUACAACCUCGGCGGCUGUCCAGCGACUAACAGGGUGCUCCACCGAUGGUGAAAAUACCUCACAUAAUGAUGUUGGAUAUUAGUGGCUGAGUAUUGAAGCAAAAUGUGACAGUUGCAUGAUGUGCUUGACUGUUUAUUUGCAUACAGCAAUAUCAUCUUUUGGAGAUAAUACAGCCGUAUGGCUGUUAGAUGAGACCAUGUCGGAAGACCCUGCUGCUAUGUAAGCAAAAGGAUUCAUGAUACCCACGGUGAAAACAGAGAUAACAUGCUACAGUUAGAGCAGCAUUGAGAAACCAAGGACACGAAAUGAGUCUGAAAAAUGCUAUGGGCUGAUUCGUUCUAGCUAGGCUAUGUGUGGUAGAAGUUGUACUCACAGGAAGACUAUCGUGCUUUGUAUAAACCACGUUCUAUGAUUCACUUCUGUUAUGCUUAUUUACAUUCCAGUGUUAGGACUGAAAUCCAUCUAUUGUAAUGAAUUUGGUUGUAUUGGCAUUACCUAUUUGACUUAGGCUUGGUUCAUCACAUAUCGAUUGUUUUUCUUGUAACCCGCUGCUUGUAUGACCUAAAACUGUCAUGUAUAUGAGGCAAGUUAUUAGCAAUGUUUCACAUUUUCUUA